UUUAUGGAGAGUUUGAUCCUGGCUCAGGAUGAACGCUGGCGGCGCGCCUAAUACAUGCAAGUCGAGCGAACGGACGAGAAGCUUGCUUCUCUGAUGUUAGCGGCGGACGGGUGAGUAACACGUGGAUAACCUACCUAUAAGACUGGGAUAACUUCGGGAAACCGGAGCUAAUACCGGAUAAUAUUUUGAACCGCAUGGUUCAAAA
RNAcentral lists this ribosomal RNA (205 nucleotides) under Staphylococcus aureus. RNAcentral describes it as "partial 16S ribosomal RNA". It matches the Rfam family "Bacterial small subunit ribosomal RNA", at positions 1 to 200 of the family's 1533-position model. The record is from RNAcentral. Lineage: Bacteria; Bacillati; Bacillota; Bacilli; Caryophanales; Staphylococcaceae.